Molecule: ribosomal RNA, 161 nt
Filed under: Balansia epichloe
Lineage: Eukaryota; Fungi; Ascomycota; Sordariomycetes; Hypocreales; Clavicipitaceae
Description: partial large subunit ribosomal RNA
Rfam family: Eukaryotic large subunit ribosomal RNA
Source: RNAcentral
CGGCAACAGCUCAAAUUUGAAAUCUGGCCCCCUGGGGCCCGAGUUGUAAUUUGCAGAGGAUGCUUUUGGCGAGGCGCCUUCCGAGUUCCCUGGAACGGGACGCCACAGAGGGUGAGAGCCCCGUCUGGUCGGACGCCGAGCCUCUGUAAAGCUCCUUCGAC